This 250-nucleotide ribosomal RNA is filed under the name uncultured soil bacterium. RNAcentral's name for it is "partial 16S ribosomal RNA". It matches the Rfam family "Bacterial small subunit ribosomal RNA", at positions 26 to 287 of the family's 1533-position model. The record is from RNAcentral.
AGGACGAACGCUGGCGGCGUGCUUAACACAUGCAAGUCACGGGGGCUCGCAAGAGCAACCGGCGAACGGGUGCGUAACACGUGAGCAACCUGCCUUUGUGUGGGGGAUAGCCGGGCUAACGCCCGGGUAAUACCGCAUACGGUUCCCGCGAGGAGUCUCGUGGGAAAGAAACCUCCGGGGCACAGAGAGGGGCUCGCGGCCUAUCAGCUAGUUGGCGGGGUAAUGGCCCACCAAGGCGACGACGGGUAGC